This 608-nucleotide unclassified non-coding RNA is filed under the name Hevea brasiliensis (rubber tree). Lineage: Eukaryota; Viridiplantae; Streptophyta; Magnoliopsida; Malpighiales; Euphorbiaceae. The record is from RNAcentral.
AUUUUAGAGUACAAGCGUUAAAUAUAUAAUAAUUUUAUUAUAAUAAUUAAUAAUGCUUAAUUUUAUGUGGUUGAAAUCUAUUCAAUGUAAUAUACACUGGUCAAAGGCUAAUCCUAUUCGAAUCCCUAGUAGAAUUGCACUCGUUCCCUCAGGAAGAAUCCGAUAAAUUGCAAAACCAUGGCCGCACUCUACUGGAAAAUUUCAUGUCUUUCAGUUUGCGUUGCAUGUGUAUUUCGGUGCAUAGCUUUUGAACUUGUAGCCAUUAGUUGGUACUUGGUAUGUCCGAUGAUCGUGGUCAUUGGAGUUGAUGAGAAUUAGAAGCAAGCACUAGUCAACCAUCGUCACAAUUGAAAGCUUCACGUGCCUGGUUUUAGCUCAAGUGGGUAGUAGAAUUGGGCUGUUAUAUAACUUAGUUGUUUUCAUAUAUGAAUGUGUAAAGCCUUGUUCACAUAUGUUGAAGAUAAUUUAUGAGAGAGUGAGAAUGGAAAUGCAGAAGAAGUAGGGCAAUAAGUUAACAUGUAAGACUGGACAUGCCUAUCGGAUGAGAUGAAGGUGUAAGGAUUUGCACCAAUGGAAGGUUAUUAUUGAAGUGUUCAAUCCAAAGAGAU